AACGAACGCUGGCGGCAGGCCUAACACAUGCAAGUCGAACGCCGUAGCAAUACGGAGUGGCAGACGGGUGAGUAACACGUGGGAACGUACCCUUCGGUUCGGGAUAACUCAGGGAAACUUGAGCUAAUACCGGAUACGUCCGAGAGGAGAAAGAUUUAUCGCCGAGGGAUCGGCCCGCGUCUGAUUAGCUUGUUGGUGAGGUAACGGCUCACCAAGGCGACGAUCAGUAGCUGGUCGAGAGGAUGAUCAGCCACAUUGGGACUGAGACACGGCCAAACUCCUACGGGAGGCAGCAGUGGGGAAUAUUGGACAAUGGGCGCAAGCCUGAUCCAGCCAUGCCGCGUGAGUGAUGAAGGCCCUAGGGUUGUAAAGCUC
RNAcentral lists this ribosomal RNA (375 nucleotides) under uncultured bacterium. Its description in RNAcentral is "bacterial SSU rRNA". It matches the Rfam family "Bacterial small subunit ribosomal RNA", at positions 29 to 433 of the family's 1533-position model. The record is from RNAcentral.